UUCUCGUUCACCUUCUUCGUCCUCCCCGUCGACGACAUCGCCAACCGCAUCAUGAACAACAUGACGAUCUUCCUCAUCAACGUUGCGUUCAAGUUCUCCGUGUC
This 104-nucleotide non-coding RNA is filed under the name Diacronema lutheri. Lineage: Eukaryota; Haptophyta; Pavlovophyceae; Pavlovales; Pavlovaceae. The record is from RNAcentral.